Molecule: long non-coding RNA, 1107 nt
Organism: Schistocerca gregaria
Lineage: Eukaryota; Metazoa; Arthropoda; Insecta; Orthoptera; Acrididae
Exons: 3
Source: RefSeq, a predicted model, not a curated record
UUCUGCAUCAUGGUCUUUCAAGAACUCACAGCACUUGGCAUAAGCGUCGCCGAAGGCUUUUGAUACAUGGACGCGCUGUCCCGAGAAACUGUUAGAAUGUUCUAUGGCGUCUUCUCCGGCGCACAUCAAGGACUUUCUCAUGCUGUGUGGUACCGUAGAGCGGUCGCAUGCAACUCGAUUCAAAUAGCCAAGACAUCCACAACGUAAGAGCGCGAGAGAAGACGACUGCUCGGAAACGAUUUUUUUUUUUCUCUCUUAAAGAUAUUGUGUAUGCAAGCUAUUUUUAAAUUUUUGCUGAUGAAAGUUCGCUUCAAGUGGGUGCGCUUCACCUCUGCUUCGUGCACGUGCUGAAGGCGCUGCAAUCAAAGCAUCGACACAAAUUGGAUCCUUAAGAAAUUAAAAAAAAUGCAUAAUUAUGCGAUCUGCCAAAAAAAAACAGCAUUUAAUAUUUCUAUUUGAUUGGAAUAUGCGUCGAGUUUUCUGCCUGCUGAUGCUUCUGGCUUGUAUUCAUGCAAUAGCCUAUGCUAAUUCUGAAUUGGAUGCUACAGAUCCAUGCGUGGAAGUCUACAAGUCAACAGACUUUCCGGGGGUACUACUUCUAGAUCAGACCUUAAAAACUACUUCCGAGCAAACCAAAAUUUGUGUUAAAUGGUAUCACGAUAAAGAGCGAACAAAGAGCAGUAUCCUUCAUUUGUACAAAGAAAAUUCGUCUAUAACAACAACGUCCUGUCCAACUAUUGGUACUAUCUGGAAAAUCUCAAUGUUAACAUCAUUCAUUGUAUCUACUAUAUUUUCCAUUACCUUGAUUGUGGUUUACUCUAUCAAAAAAAGGUAUAGGGAACACUUGAAAAUAUAUGAAAGGGCAGAUAUGUAGAUCAAGUAAUUUGAAAAGAAAUUUUCAAUAAAGUCGAACUUGCGCCGCUAUUCUUGAUUUAACUACGUAUUGCAAGCAGAAAUUUUUUCUGUUCACGGAUUUCAGUCAUCUGAAGCACUCAGGACGCUACGAUCAGAAGGAUCUUCAACCGGAGGAAUGUAGUCGUGAUAUGUAUUGUUUUUCAGCAUAUCAAAAAUGUAUUUGUCUGGUCCCGUUUUCCAAUUUUUACUGGU